This 440-nucleotide ribosomal RNA is filed under the name uncultured bacterium. RNAcentral describes it as "partial 16S ribosomal RNA". It matches the Rfam family "Bacterial small subunit ribosomal RNA", at positions 338 to 795 of the family's 1533-position model. The record is from RNAcentral.
CCUACGGGGGGCAGCAGUGGGGAAUAUUGCACAAUGGGGGAAACCCUGAUGCAGCGACGCCGCGUGAGUGAAGAAGUAUUUCGGUAUGUAAAGCUCUAUCAGCAGGGAAGAAAAUGACGGUACCUGACUAAGAAGCCCCGGCUAACUACGUGCCAGCAGCCGCGGUAAUACGUAGGGGGCAAGCGUUAUCCGGAUUUACUGGGUGUAAAGGGAGCGUAGACGGCAGCACAAGUCUGGAGUGAAAUGCCGGGGCUUAACCCCGGAACUGCUUUGGAAACUGUGCAGCUAGAGUGCAGGAGAGGUAAGUGGAAUGCCUAGUGUAGCGGUGAAAUGCGUAGAUAUUAGGAGGAACACCAGUGGCGAAGGCGGCUUACUGGACUGUAACUGACGUUGAGGCUCGAAAGCGUGGGGAGCAAACAGGAUUAGAUACCCCGGUAGUC